UGGCUUAUACUCCCGCAGCGCGCGGCGGGGGUUGGCAGAACGGCCAGGGCAUAGACUCAGUGGGUGAAUAAGGGUCUUAAAGCCUCGUCGUUUCGGGGUUCAGCUGAAUUUUGGGAACCAGGUGCUUGCACCAGCUGGGUCAAAUAUUAAAAGAUGGGUGCACUAAAGUCAAGGGGAUUGAUGCUGAUGCAUUCAUUACUAAUGCUCAUUAGAUUUUCCACCAGACCCUUGUCAAUAAGUUAAGAGAUGUGAUCAACAAGGGGUGGCUGAUCAAAGAGUGGGAAGAAAAUUAAGGGGGUUUACAGGCAGAGGGAACAAUAUGUGGAAGCUCUGAGGCAGAACAACGGUUGCUGUGCUUUAGAAACUGAAAAGACAUCGGGCUAGAUGAAGUAGAGCUUGACAAACCUUAACUAUAGCUCAGCUUGUUCAACUCCCAAAUGAAGGUGAAGACACAGAGCCCUUAUCCAAGGGUGAGGCAGAAUGUCCACUGGAUUUCAGUCCUAACUGAUUGCAUUUGGAAAUCGAAUUUUGGCUGUUUCUUGAGUAGGGGACUUGGACAAGCUGCUGAACCUUGGAACUUCCUUUCCUUAUCUGGAAAUGGGAAAAUCAAAAAGGUCAUCAAAAGAGAAGUACCAACAAGGGCCAAUGGAAAGAUCGCAGGGGACAUGUGUUCAACCUGAAAGUGAGGAGCCGGAGAGACAGACGGACCUAUGGGCCAAGGCCUUUACAGGGAUCCGGGGUGUUAUCCAAGGAACUUUCCUGUGGAGAGUUCUAAUUCAUGGGUUUAA
Long non-coding RNA from Gorilla gorilla gorilla (western lowland gorilla), 788 nucleotides. RefSeq lists it as uncharacterized. The record is from RefSeq and is a predicted model, not a curated record. Lineage: Eukaryota; Metazoa; Chordata; Mammalia; Primates; Hominidae. The transcript has 5 exons.